RNAcentral lists this ribosomal RNA (425 nucleotides) under uncultured bacterium. Its description in RNAcentral is "bacterial SSU rRNA". It matches the Rfam family "Bacterial small subunit ribosomal RNA", at positions 354 to 796 of the family's 1533-position model. The record is from RNAcentral.
GUGGGGAAUAUUGGACAAUGGGGGCAACCCUGAUCCAGCCAUGCCGCGUGAGUGAUGAAGGCCUUCGGGUUGUAAAGCUCUUUUGGCGGGGACGAUGAUGACGGUACCCGCAGAAUAAGCCCCGGCUAACUUCGUGCCAGCAGCCGCGGUAAGACGAAGGGGGCUAGCGUUGUUCGGAAUUACUGGGCGUAAAGCGAGUGUAGGUGGUUUUCCAAGUUGGAUGUGAAAGCCUUGAGCUCAACUCAAGAAAUGCAUUCAGGACUGGAGGACUAGAGGACCGGAGAGGAUAGUGGAAUUCCCAGUGUAGUGGUGAAAUACGUAGAGAUUGGGAAGAACACCAGUGGCGAAGGCGGCUAUCUGGACGGUUACUGACACUAAGACUCGAAAGCGUGGGGAGCAAACAGGAUUAGAAACCCUUGUAGUCC